GAGUAACGCGUUGGUGACCUACCCCGAAGAGAGGAAUAACUCCGGGAAACUGGAGCUAAUACCUCAUGUGGUUACCAGGUUAGAGGCCUGGCAACUGAAGGAGCAAUCCGCUUUGGGAGGGACCUGCGUCCCAUCAGCUCGUUGGUAGGGUAACGGCCUACCAAGGCUACGACGGGUAGGGGGCCUGAGAGGGUGGCCCCCCACACUGGCACUGAAACACGGCCCAGACACCUACGGGUGGCAGCAGUAGGGAAUAUUGCACAAUGGGCGAAAGCCUGAUGCAGCAACGCCGCGUGCGCGAUGAAGACCUUCGGGUCGUAAAGCGCUUUUCUGAAGGACGAGGACAGGACGGUUACUUCAGGAAUAAGGAUCGGCUAACUACGUGCCAGCAGCCGCGGUAAUACAUAGGAUCCGAGCGUUAUCCGAAUUUAUUGGGCGUAAAGAGCGCGUAGGCGGCCUAUUAAGUCGGUUGUGAAAUCUCUUGGCUUAACUGAGAGAGGUCAACCGAAACUGGUAGGCUUGAGGACAGCAGAGGGAAGUGGAAUUCCCGGUGUAGUGGUGAAAUGCGUAGAUAUCGGGAGGAACACCGGUGGCGAAGGCGGCUUCCUGGGCUGUUCCUGACGCUGAGGCGCGAAAGCGUGGGUAGCAAACAGGAUUAGAUACCCUGGUAGUCCACGCCGUAAACUAUGGACACUAGGUAUGGGGGGUAUCGACCCCCUCCGUGCCGAAGUUAACGCUAUAAGUGUCCCGCCUGGGGAGUACGGCCGCAAGGCUAAAACUCAAAGGAAUUGACGGGGGCCCGCACAAGCAGCGGAGCGUGUGGUUUAAUUCGACGCAACGCGAAGAACCUUACCAAGACUUGACAUAUACCUGAAAGGCAGAGAAGUCUGCCCCUCCUUCGGGACGGGUAUACAGAUGCUGCAUGGCUGUCGUCAGCUCGUGCCGUGAGGUGUUGGGUUAAGUCCCGCAACGAGCGCAACCCUCGUUGUCAGUUGAUUUCUCUGGCAAGACUGCCCUUUAGAAGGGGAGGAAGGUGGGGAUGACGUCAAGUCAGCACGGCUCUUACGUCUUGGGCUACACACACGCUACAAUGAGUAGUACAGAGGGUUGCCAAGGAGCGAUCCGGAGCUAAUCCCAUCAAACUACUCCCAGUUCGGAUUGGAGGCU
This 1167-nucleotide ribosomal RNA is filed under the name uncultured bacterium. Its description in RNAcentral is "bacterial SSU rRNA". It matches the Rfam family "Bacterial small subunit ribosomal RNA", at positions 108 to 1306 of the family's 1533-position model. The record is from RNAcentral.